Molecule: ribosomal RNA, 253 nt
Filed under: uncultured bacterium
Lineage: Bacteria
Description: partial 16S ribosomal RNA
Rfam family: Bacterial small subunit ribosomal RNA
Source: RNAcentral
UACAGAGGUCUCAACCGUUGUUCGGAUUCAUUGGGCGUAAAGAGCGUGUAGGCGGCCAUGCAGGUCCGUUGUGAAAACUCGAGGCUCAACCUCGAGACGUCGAUGGAAACCGCAUGGCUAGAGUCCGGAAGAGGAGAGUGGAAUUCCUGGUGUAGCGGUGAAAUGCGCAGAUAUCAGGAAGAACACCCGUGGCGAAGGCGGCUCUCUGGGACGGUACUGACGCUGAGACGCGAAAGCGUGGGGAGCAAACAGG